This is a long non-coding RNA of Betta splendens (Siamese fighting fish), 487 nucleotides long. RefSeq lists it as uncharacterized. The record is from RefSeq and is a predicted model, not a curated record. The transcript is spliced from 3 exons. NCBI's taxonomy places the organism in Eukaryota, Metazoa, Chordata, Actinopteri, Anabantiformes, Osphronemidae.
UGUUGAACUGCAAUUGGAUCAAAUAUAAGCAUCAGUUCAGUAAUGCAAAAGAGCAAGCAUGGAUGUCAUGUAUGACCUUUAUAAGAUUUGGAUUUAAAACUUACAUCAAAUAUUUCAAACCCAGCGAUAUCCAGCACACCAAUGAAGUACUGGCGUGGCUGCUUGGUGUCUAAGGAUUGGUUAAUCCUCAUUACCAUCCACAGAAACAUCUUCUCAUACACUGCCUUAGACAGUGCACCGAUAGCAUAGUACACCUUGAGACCUUUGAUGAGGUCGGCAGAGUUGAGACCCAUCAGAUAAGCUACUUUGUCAGCAUCUGAUGAAGUGAGGAUGUGCACACUGUAAAUCACGUAUCAUUGCCAUCGGCCUCUGCCUGCUCCUCUCGUUGCUUCUGCUUAAACUUCAUGUUACCAUAGUGCAUGAUGGCACCGGUCAGCUUGUAAAUACUGUUCUUCUCUUCUUGAGUGAAGCCCAGCACAUCAAAGGC